Molecule: long non-coding RNA, 353 nt
Organism: Diceros bicornis minor
Lineage: Eukaryota; Metazoa; Chordata; Mammalia; Perissodactyla; Rhinocerotidae
Exons: 3
Source: RefSeq, a predicted model, not a curated record
UAUCACCAUUCCUAAGAAUGGCGGAGAUAAAAUACUCCUCCCUGGAGGGAGGCUGCUCCCACCCGAACACCCUGCCUAUACCCCACUGUGGUACCCCAGCAUUGGCUCUAUAAUCACAGUGACAUUCUGAAAGAAGACCUUGAAGCCUGUGGAACAGCUGUCCUUCACCAGCCUCCGAGACUCUUACCUGGAGGUGGCAGCCAUGAAAAGCAAGUCAGAUCUGAACAAGCGUCAGCCUCAGGCUUGUUGAGGGCACAGUUGGGUCAGCACAUGGCCACCUUGAAAGAACGUGAUAAUUCUAUCACAGAAGAGGUAGCUAAGAAGUCUGAAGUUUUCCUAGUCACAAACGUGGA